GGCCUCGUGGCCCAAUGGCAAGGCGUCUGACUACGAUUGUGGGGACUGACAAACUCAGUCAACAUAGAUGUGUAAUCAGGAGAUUCUGGGUUCGACCCCCAGCGAGGUCA
RNAcentral lists this transfer RNA (110 nucleotides) under Rosellinia necatrix. It matches the Rfam family "tRNA". Rfam says of the family: Transfer RNA (tRNA) molecules are approximately 80 nucleotides in length. Their secondary structure includes four short double-helical elements and three loops (D, anti-codon, and T loops). Further hydrogen bonds mediate the characteristic L-shaped molecular structure. tRNAs have two regions of fundamental functional importance: the anti-codon, which is responsible for specific mRNA codon recognition, and the 3' end, to which the tRNAs corresponding amino acid is attached (by aminoacyl-tRNA synthetases). tRNAs cope with the degeneracy of the genetic code in two manners: having more than one tRNA (with a specific anti-codon) for a particular amino acid; and 'wobble' base-pairing, i.e. permitting non-standard base-pairing at the 3rd anti-codon position. The record is from Rfam by way of RNAcentral. Lineage: Eukaryota; Fungi; Ascomycota; Sordariomycetes; Xylariales; Xylariaceae.